CAAUUCCUGGCACUUUGAUGGCCCUAAAUCCCUUGUAUUUAUGCUUUUUUUUAUGUGUGUCCUCUCUGCCUCUAGGACAAGCGUUUGCUGUAACUAGAUGAUUUUAUAGGCUGCAACUGGGGAAGAGGUCUCCGCCGAGGAUUUGGGGGGUGCAAGUGUUCACUGCAAGACAUCAGGUGUUUCAGAUUAUUUUGCUCAAGAUGAACUGCAUGCACUGGCUCUUGGGAGGAACAUCAUCAAGAACUUGCACAUGGCUGGGAAAGACGUCUUGGGAAAUGGAUUGCAAAAUGUAAAA
Long non-coding RNA from Neltuma alba, 295 nucleotides. RefSeq lists it as uncharacterized. Lineage: Eukaryota; Viridiplantae; Streptophyta; Magnoliopsida; Fabales; Fabaceae. The transcript has 2 exons. The record is from RefSeq and is a predicted model, not a curated record.